ACGGGUAUAAUUUAAUGGUAGAAUCAUAGUUUUCCAAACUAUUUAUGUGAGUUCAAUUCUCACUACCCGUU
Molecule: transfer RNA, 71 nt
Filed under: Nitzschia alba
Lineage: Eukaryota; Bacillariophyta; Bacillariophyceae; Bacillariales; Bacillariaceae
Description: tRNA-Gly
Rfam family: tRNA
About the family: Transfer RNA (tRNA) molecules are approximately 80 nucleotides in length. Their secondary structure includes four short double-helical elements and three loops (D, anti-codon, and T loops).
Source: RNAcentral